Molecule: non-coding RNA, 602 nt
Organism: Thamnophis sirtalis
Lineage: Eukaryota; Metazoa; Chordata; Lepidosauria; Squamata; Natricidae
Source: RefSeq, a predicted model, not a curated record
CACAAGGAGUUAUAUGACAACAGAAGGGCUGACUGGCCUCUCUUCCUGCUUGCAGACCUUCUGGAACCCCGUCUACCUGGGCAGCCUUUUGCCAGCAUACCUGCUCAUGGUGGCCAUGGCGGUCUGGGCUUAUCAUCUCUCCGGAGGCUCCAGAAAGAACCUGCAGCAUUUUCUCCUCUGUCUUCGGACGGCACCCCAGGCGGGAUCCUGAGCCUUCCAGCCACGUUGCCAGGAAGCUGAGGCCCCCAGACUCUCCAGAGGGCACCGGGUGAUUGUGCCCUUGGAAGACGGGGGCGGAAGACGGGACGGCGGCUGUGGAGACGGCUUCCCUCAAGCAGCCCCAGGAAAUCUGUCUGUCCAGUGCUACCGCUGCAUCUCCCCUCUGGCUCCUUAGACUUCUUGGGGAGGGAGGGAGGGGGAAAGGGGGCUUGGCUGAGCAGCCAGGUGAUCUGUAUGGGGCAGAGAAAGGGCCUUUGAUCUGCUGCUCUGGGAGGGGGGGGGGGCAGCCAGUCUUGCAUUGCUUGAAAGCCGGGAGCAGAAGCUGGAGAGAGAGCUCUGUGACUUCCCUUCUGAAGUAGCACCAAUAAAGAGACUGGCUGAAA